ACGGAUCUCUUGGCUCUGGCAUCGAUGAAGAACGCAGCGAAAUGCGAUAAGUAAUGUGAAUUGCAGAAUUCAGUGAAUCAUCGAAUCUUUGAACGCACAUUGCGCCCGCCAGUAUUCUGGCGGGCAUGCCUGUGCGAGCGUCAUU
RNAcentral lists this ribosomal RNA (145 nucleotides) under Fusarium solani. Its description in RNAcentral is "5.8S ribosomal RNA". It matches the Rfam family "5.8S ribosomal RNA". Rfam says of the family: 5.8S ribosomal RNA (5.8S rRNA) is a component of the large subunit of the eukaryotic ribosome. Lineage: Eukaryota; Fungi; Ascomycota; Sordariomycetes; Hypocreales; Nectriaceae. The record is from RNAcentral.